Misgurnus anguillicaudatus (oriental weatherfish) is the source of this 576-nucleotide non-coding RNA. NCBI's taxonomy places the organism in Eukaryota, Metazoa, Chordata, Actinopteri, Cypriniformes, Cobitidae. The record is from RefSeq and is a predicted model, not a curated record.
UUUAUUAUUAUUAUUAUUAAUUUCGCAACCUAUUAUCUAAAUUGUGUGUUCAUGAAGGCCUGUAACGUACUGCAGCUUCCUGCAGGCAACGUGAAACAUUGCUGAGGGAGAACUUUAUUCACAACAAAAGGAUAAAGAUGAAGAGGCGGGACUUGAGCAGCUUGUGAUGGCUGUAAUUGUAAAGAAUGGAUCUUCUAGGAGUGGAAGCCCAAAGGAUGCUGGAAUUGUUAUUGAGGCCUUAAAGGUGUUCACAGGGCAUGCUUUAUCCUUGGAUCUAUGCAUUGAAUCUCCAGUAUCCCAGGCAUCUUUUCAGGUGUUUCAGAAACUUUUCUUGGAGCUGGAUUCUUCAAAGUUUAUGAACUGAUUACAGUACAGUAAGUCUAAACUGCUGUCUGAUUUUCUGGGUGUGAAUCAAUGUAACAGAACACACAAACAUGGAACCUUGUGGACGGGAAAUGUGGACGGUUUUCUUUAAAGACUGUAAAAUACUUUUUGAAGUUUACACUGUUACAAAUACAUCAUUAAAAUGAGAUGCUUUCCUGUUCUUUUGACUGCAAUAAAAUAAGAAUUGAUUCA